Molecule: ribosomal RNA, 253 nt
Filed under: uncultured bacterium
Lineage: Bacteria
Description: partial 16S ribosomal RNA
Rfam family: Bacterial small subunit ribosomal RNA
Source: RNAcentral
UACGGAGGGUGCAAGCGUUAUCCGGAUUUACUGGGUUUAAAGGGUGCGUAGGUGGGUCUGUAAGUCAGUGGUGAAAUCUCCGGGCUUAACCCGGAAACUGCCAUUGAUACUAUAGAUCUUGAAUAUCCUGGAGGUGAGCGGAAUAUGUCAUGUAGCGGUGAAAUGCUUAGAUAUGACAUGGAACACCAAUUGCGAAGGCAGCUCACUACGGGAUUAUUGACACUGAGGCACGAAAGCGUGGGGAUCAAACAGG